This 253-nucleotide ribosomal RNA is filed under the name uncultured bacterium. RNAcentral describes it as "partial 16S ribosomal RNA". It matches the Rfam family "Archaeal small subunit ribosomal RNA", at positions 474 to 727 of the family's 1478-position model. The record is from RNAcentral.
UACCAGCCCCCCGAGUGGUCGCGGCGAUUAUUGGGCCUAAAGCGUCCGUAGCCGGUCCUACAAGUCUUCCGUUAAAUCCACCUGCUUAACAGAUGGGCUGCGGAAGAUACUAUAGGGCUAGGAGGCGGGAGAGGCAAGCGGUACUCAGUGGGUAGGGGUAAAAUCCUCUGAUCCAUUGAAGACCACCAGUGGCGAAGGCGGCUUGCCAGAACGCGCUCGACGGUGAGGGAUGAAAGCUGGGGGAGCAAACCGG